Molecule: long non-coding RNA, 754 nt
Organism: Oreochromis aureus
Lineage: Eukaryota; Metazoa; Chordata; Actinopteri; Cichliformes; Cichlidae
Source: Ensembl
CAGGCCACAUAGAUGCCAACAAUACUAUCGUGACUGUGUGUGUUGUGGUUGCCAUCAUCAUAAUCCUCGUUGUAGGUUAUAUUCAUCAUCGAACGAAACAAAAAAGCAAAGCUUGAAUUGGACGCAGUGGACUGGUGUGUCUAUUACAUGAUCUGCCGUGAUAUCAGAUACCAGAGAAACCAUUGAAAACACAGUGUAUGCAGUUCCUGAGGUUAUCCAAACAACACCACCUGUGGAACAGAGUCCAAUCAGUGAUGCUUCUCCAACAUCCACCUAUAGCUUUGUGAGACCUCACACUGGACCCAACGGAUCCACUGAGGCCAGAAGCAAAGCUUUGCCUGAGAGCUUGUAUGCCCAGGUAGAAAUUCAUCCCAGAUCCUAAAACCUCUUCAGAAAUUCUAAUUCAAAGUUUAAAAAGUAACUGCCUACCAAAGGCAAUACAAUUGUCAAAGUCCUCUUGGAGAAAAAAAGGGAAGAAGAGAAAGUAUAUCACACAUGUAGAGAAAGAUUUUAUGUUGAGGACUAACUGAGGCUUCUGUAAGGUGUGCUUUUGAUGGACUCAUGAACUUUGCUACAGUGUUCUGGUUUCUAUAUACAGCUUUAUAUAUAUAUAUUUUUUAUUACAUUUUUGAUGAAUGUGUUGUAAGGAGCACACCUUAAAGUAAAGUUAGUAUUGCCUAAUACUUAUUUAUACAUGUUUUUGAAGACUUGAGUUAUUUUUUCUCUUUGGCAGCAGUUGCUCAACACAAACAAA